CCACCCUUCUUGGACGUCAAGUUUUCUUCAUGCAAGAAUGAUUUUUGCGUGAGAUUAUUUCAUGCCUACACCCCUUCAUGCCCCCUUAUCCAUGCUAACACUCUCUUCUCAUCACCCCAUAUGGUAGGAUAAGGAAGUUUUGAAUUUGAUUUAAAACUAUCCUUAUCAAGAAGAGGUUGUUUCCAUCUUAACCAAACUCUAUUUGAUGCCUACCUUAGA
Molecule: long non-coding RNA, 219 nt
Filed under: Elaeis guineensis (African oil palm)
Lineage: Eukaryota; Viridiplantae; Streptophyta; Magnoliopsida; Arecales; Arecaceae
Description: long non-coding RNA (EGUI_LNC076017)
Source: RNAcentral